This 1048-nucleotide ribosomal RNA is filed under the name Rhodococcus sp. OTB147. RNAcentral describes it as "bacterial SSU rRNA". It matches the Rfam family "Bacterial small subunit ribosomal RNA", at positions 371 to 1430 of the family's 1533-position model. The record is from RNAcentral. Lineage: Bacteria; Bacillati; Actinomycetota; Actinomycetes; Mycobacteriales; Nocardiaceae.
AUGGGCGAAAGCCUGAUGCAGCGACGCCGCGUGAGGGAUGACGGCCUUCGGGUUGUAAACCUCUUUCAGCAGGGACGAAGCGCAAGUGACGGUACCUGCAGAAGAAGCACCGGCCAACUACGUGCCAGCAGCCGCGGUAAUACGUAGGGUGCGAGCGUUGUCCGGAAUUACUGGGCGUAAAGAGCUCGUAGGCGGUUUGUCGCGUCGUCUGUGAAAACCCGCAGCUCAACUGCGGGCUUGCAGGCGAUACGGGCAGACUUGAGUACUGCAGGGGAGACUGGAAUUCCUGGUGUAGCGGUGAAAUGCGCAGAUAUCAGGAGGAACACCGGUGGCGAAGGCGGGUCUCUGGGCAGUAACUGACGCUGAGGAGCGAAAGCGUGGGUAGCGAACAGGAUUAGAUACCCUGGUAGUCCACGCCGUAAACGGUGGGCGCUAGGUGUGGGUUUCCUUCCACGGGAUCCGUGCCGUAGCUAACGCAUUAAGCGCCCCGCCUGGGGAGUACGGCCGCAAGGCUAAAACUCAAAGGAAUUGACGGGGGCCCGCACAAGCGGCGGAGCAUGUGGAUUAAUUCGAUGCAACGCGAAGAACCUUACCUGGGUUUGACAUAUACCGGAAACGCCUAGAGAUAGGUGCCCCCUUGUGGUCGGUAUACAGGUGGUGCAUGGCUGUCGUCAGCUCGUGUCGUGAGAUGUUGGGUUAAGUCCCGCAACGAGCGCAACCCUUGUCCUGUGUUGCCAGCGCGUAAUGGCGGGGACUCGCAGGAGACUGCCGGGGUCAACUCGGAGGAAGGUGGGGAUGACGUCAAGUCAUCAUGCCCCUUAUGUCCAGGGCUUCACACAUGCUACAAUGGCCGGUACAGAGGGCUGCGAUACCGUGAGGUGGAGCGAAUCCCUUAAAGCCGGUCUCAGUUCGGAUCGGGGUCUGCAACUCGACCCCGUGAAGUCGGAGUCGCUAGUAAUCGCAGAUCAGCAACGCUGCGGUGAAUACGUUCCCGGGCCUUGUACACACCGCCCGUCACGUCAUGAAAGUCGGUAACACCCGAAGCCGG